UACGUAUGAUGCAAGCGUUGUUCGGAAUUAUUGGGCAUAAAGGGCAUCUAGGCGGGAUAAUAAGUCGGGUGUGAAAGCCUGGGGCUCAACCCCAGAAUUGCAUUCGAUACUGUUGUUCUUGAGUUAGGAAGAGGAAGGCGGAAUUUCUGGUGUAGCGGUGAAAUGCGUAGAUAUCAGAAAGAACACCGGUGGCGAAGGCGGCCUUCUGGUCCAUAACUGACGCUGAAGUGCGAAAGUGUGGGGAGCGAACGGG
This 253-nucleotide ribosomal RNA is filed under the name uncultured bacterium. RNAcentral describes it as "partial 16S ribosomal RNA". It matches the Rfam family "Bacterial small subunit ribosomal RNA", at positions 524 to 776 of the family's 1533-position model. The record is from RNAcentral.